CACUGAAACACUGAGAGGACUAACAGUCAUACUUACAGACUUCUCCUCUUAACUCCAAACCACUGCAAAUCAUUCUCCUAGAUUUGGAUUGAGCAAACAUACAACAUGUGUAAGGGAUUAGCAACACUGCCAGCAACCUGCUUAAAAAGUGCCAAAGACAUCAAACACAAGAUUGGCUUUCUGCUCCAGAAGCCUGAGUUUCCAACAGACCAGAAACAGGUCAAAGAGAAGACGACCGCUGUCAAGGGGACAGAGACACCAUGUCAAACUAUUCCUGGAGGAGACUUCAUGCAACACAUGUACCCCAGUGGCUCUCUUGCAGAAGAUGUUCAU
This is a non-coding RNA of Salvelinus sp. IW2-2015, 333 nucleotides long. NCBI's taxonomy places the organism in Eukaryota, Metazoa, Chordata, Actinopteri, Salmoniformes, Salmonidae. The record is from RefSeq and is a predicted model, not a curated record.